UACGUAGGGGGCAAGCGUUGUCCGGAAUCAUUGGGCGUAAAGCGCGUGUAGGCGGCCCGAUAAGUCCGCUGUGAAAGUCCAGGGCUCAACCCUGGAAUGCCGGUGGAUACUGUCGGGCUCGAGUCCGGAAGAGGCGAGUGGAAUUCCUGGUGUAGCGGUGAAAUGCGCAGAUAUCGGGAGGAACACCAGUAGCGAAGGCGGCUCGCUGGGCCACACCUGACGCUGAGACGCGAAAGCUAGGGGAGCGAACAGG
Molecule: ribosomal RNA, 253 nt
Filed under: uncultured bacterium
Lineage: Bacteria
Description: partial 16S ribosomal RNA
Rfam family: Bacterial small subunit ribosomal RNA
Source: RNAcentral